Molecule: long non-coding RNA, 1122 nt
Organism: Siniperca chuatsi (mandarin fish)
Lineage: Eukaryota; Metazoa; Chordata; Actinopteri; Centrarchiformes; Sinipercidae
Exons: 4
Source: RefSeq, a predicted model, not a curated record
AGCUAAGUGGGUUAGCAAGGUCAAACCACUGAACUCAGUUAUCGCUAGCUUACCUAACGCUAGCCUCAGAGGCUGUGAGCUAACGUUACUGAAGCUAAAUGCACUGAUGUUAGCUCAUACCCGAUGCUAGCCACAUUUUUGACCUCACGGCCGUUGGAAAUAUUGGAUUUAAACAUUGUUUUCGCCCCGGGCAAACACUUAUCACUCUGGGCAGACCCGAAGACGUCAGCAGAAUCACGAAAAUGACUUUAAAGAUACAACUUGCUGCUGGAUAACAUCUAAAAAUCACGUUUCGAUGAAUCCGCAAAGGGACAUCAAGAUAAAUUCAGACCCACCGGAGGAAAGACAAUCUUCUUAGCGACUUAUAAAGCGAUGAUGAGGCCAUGUCAGACGCUGUUCAUCCACUUGGUGAAGGUUUUCUUCUGCACCGCCAUCCUCUGCUCCUGCAGCUCCCUGACUCGCCCCGCCCCGUCCUCCUCGCCCUCCAUCCUGAUUGGCUGGAAGCACACGGAGAAAAGUUUCAAAGAUGCUUCAAAAGGUGGAGAUGGUAAGGUGCCAGCUUCAGUUGUCUUCCGCAGAACUCGGGAUCAAACCAGAAGCCGUUGGGCCUGAUGCUCGUUUUCAUUCCCGACACCCCGAGACAUUUCAUUUCAUGACCCUCCCGAAUCCGCCAUGAAACCCGGAAGAUCCCAGCUGCUCUUCGGCAGACAUGUUCAUUCUGUGCAGCUGAUCAUCAUCUUCAUAUAAUAUAAAAAUGCAACUUCAAGUAGGUUUUGUGAGGAAUGUAAUGCUGCCUGGAUUAUGUUUUUUUAUCAACAGAAUGAAGAAACUUAAUGAAAAGUUACUUAACAUAUUUGCAAAAUGUUCACUGACAGCGUAUCGAAUUAGUUUUCCUACAAUAUCCAAUAGCAACUGAAGCAUAAUUAACAUUUUUAUGGUUUUGUAUUGUCGACCCCUUUAAGUGUUAGGAAAAUAUGGUUUUGAUGUUUAAAUAUUUUACGAGUCAUGAGACAGGACAUGUUUACUUUUUCAGUAUUAAACCAAACCAAAGCGACACUAUUUAACUUUGGAAACAAGAAAUAACACAAUCUUUCUCUCACAAAUGUAACGUUAAGUUCAUAA